CUUGUCAGGCUGGGGUUUUCUCUCGGUUUGGGCGCUGAUCUCUAGGCUGGCCAGGUCCAUACCCAGUAACUCCGCGAUCCGCUCCCGCCCAUAGAUGUCGCCGUAUUUCUCCAGCACCUGCAGAGGGCGGGGGGCAGAGGGAACCCCCAGGGCAAAUGCAAAGGGAGAAAGCCCUGGAUCCCCCCCCAGCCAGCCCGGCCCCUGCCCUGGCACCCCCUGGGGGAACAGCCCCAUGUCCCCCUUCCCCAUGCAGCGGCCACGUGGGACCAGCAGCCCCUGGGGCCAGAUGGGAGCCGGCGCCCCCUGGGGGAAAGGUCCCGUGCCCCGCCCUGGGGCAGGAUGGGACCGACGCCCCCUGGGGGAAAGGCCCUGUGCCCUGCUCUGGGGCCGGACAGGGCCGGCGCCCCCUGGGGGAAAGGCCACGUGCCCCACCUUGGGGCCGGAUGGGACAGGUGCCCCCUGGGGGAAAGGCCCUGCGCCCUGCCCUGGGGCCAGAUGGGACCGGCGCCCCCUGGGGGAAAGGCCCUGUGCCCCGCCCUGGGGCCGGAUGGGACUGGCGCCCCCUGGGGGAAAAGCCCUGUGCCCUGCUCUGGGGCCGGAUGGGACAGGUGCCCCCUGGGGGAAAAGCCCUGUGCCCUGCUCUGGGGCCGGACGGGGCCGGCGCCUCCUGGGUGAAAGGCCCCGUGCCCCACCCUGGGGCCGGAUGGGACCGGCGCCCCCUGGGGGAAAGGCCCCGUGCUCCACCCUGGGGCCGGAUGGGACCGGCACCCCCUGGGGGAAAGGCCCCGUGCUCCACCCUGGGGCCGGAUGGGACCGGCACCCCCUGGGGGAAAGGCCCCGUGCCCCGCCCUGGGGUAGGAUGGGACCGGCACCCCCUGGGGGAAAGGCCCUGUACCCUGACCUGGGGCAGGAUGGGACCGGCGCCCCCUGGGGGAAAGGCCCCGUGCCCCAUCCUGGGGCCAAAUGGGACCGGCGCCCCCUGGGGAAAAGGCCCCGUGCUCCACCCUGGGGCCAGAUGGGACCGGCGCCCCCUGGGGGAAAGGCCCCGUGCUCCACCCUGGGGCCGGAUGGGACCGGCACCCCCUGGGGGAAAGGCCCCGUGCUCCACCCUGGGGCCGGAUGGGACCGGCACCCCCUGGGGGAAAGGCCCCGUGCCCCGCCCUGGGGUAGGAUGGGACCGGCACCCCCUGGGGGAAAGGCCCUGUACCCUGACCUGGGGCAGGAUGGGACCGGCGCCCCCUGGGGAAAAGGCCCCAUGCCCCACCCUGGGGCCGGAUGGGACCGGCACCCCCUGGGGGAAAGGCCCUGUGCUCCACCCUGGGGCCAGAUGGGACCGGGGCCCCCUGGGGGAAAGGCCCUGUGCUCCACCCUGGGGCCGGAUGGGAC
Molecule: long non-coding RNA, 1386 nt
Filed under: Gopherus agassizii (Agassiz's desert tortoise)
Lineage: Eukaryota; Metazoa; Chordata; Testudines; Testudinidae
Description: lncRNA (ENSGAGG00000002278.1)
Source: RNAcentral